AAAGAGGAGGAGCGUGGCAGGUGGCUCAUGUUCGGUGUGGCGAUCUGGUUGCGGUCUUAUUUAAAAUAGACAUAAGCUAGUGGGCCAUUAGUUAACGCAAGGGCUAUGUAUCGCCCAUACCGAUUCCUAUUAGGCAUCACCUACAGUGAACGGCUAUCGGACCAGCCCAACAAUGUAUUAGAGCUUGAGUUUUUCUUCCUAUUUCCACUGUUUGUAGAAUUGUUUUUAGCGGGUUUUCUUUGGUUUUUCCUCUGGUAUUUUUGGUUUCCGGUUUCGACCUUCCCAAGGCGAUGAUCAGUAGUUGGUCCGAGAGGAUGAUCAGCCACACUGAGACUGAGAACGACCCAAACUUCUGCGGGACGCAGCAGUGGGGAAUUUUUCGCAACGGGCGAAAGCCUGACGGAGCAAUGCCGCGUGGAGGUGGAACGCCUAUGGGUCGUCAACAUCUUUUCUCUGAUAAGAAACAAUGACGGUGUCCGAGGAAUAAGCAUCGGCUAACUCUUUCUUUCUUUCUUUGAUUUUCGCUCAUUUUCUUCAGUUUUUUUCUUUUUUU
Molecule: non-coding RNA, 553 nt
Filed under: Triticum aestivum (bread wheat)
Lineage: Eukaryota; Viridiplantae; Streptophyta; Magnoliopsida; Poales; Poaceae
Description: Bacterial small subunit ribosomal RNA
Rfam family: Bacterial small subunit ribosomal RNA
Source: Rfam by way of RNAcentral